GGCCUCCAGGCACAUGUUGACCUCGUCCACGUUGAGGCCCUGCAGGCUGGCCUGGCACUGCUUGACGCUGGUCACGGACUGGACCGAGCCUCCCAGUUUCACCUGGAUUCAAAGAAAAAGCCUGUGGGUAACACAGAUGACACCCCUUCAUUCUCACACAAGCAAACGUCCUUCAUCCGGCUCAGGUCGGUUAUGUGUGAUGAGGAAACAGCAGAGUGGGGUGAGAGGUGGAGUGAUACAUCCGCAACCUCAGAGCUGCUCUACCAUUAGACGAUUACACUGCGUCACCCGCCCGUGCUGCCUCAGAGGCCCUCUCACUUUACAAGCGUCAAUAUAAAUCAUGCAGUAUUAUAUUUUGAUCAUGAAUAUAAUGCAAUCAUUGGGAUGGUGGGUUUCCCUAUUGGCUAAUUACAGUGGUACCUCUACUUACGAACUUAAUUGGAUAGAAGCAAAGUUUUCCCUAGGAAUCAGUGUAAGAGCAAAUAAUGCGUGCUGGACUAUCCCAAAGGUCACACUUUUUUUUCCCUAUUACUUUGUGUAAAACACACAGAAAACCAAAACAGCAGUUUUAUUUUUGCUUUUUCAAACCUUUAUAACAAAAACUAAAUGCCACUUUAUUCUUGACCUCCUGACUUUGCUUAGGGAAGUUGAAAUAUGUUCUUAUUUUCUACACUUGCUAAA
Long non-coding RNA from Syngnathus acus (greater pipefish), 681 nucleotides. RefSeq lists it as uncharacterized. The transcript has 2 exons. Lineage: Eukaryota; Metazoa; Chordata; Actinopteri; Syngnathiformes; Syngnathidae. The record is from RefSeq and is a predicted model, not a curated record.